This 72-nucleotide transfer RNA is filed under the name Pangasianodon hypophthalmus (striped catfish). RNAcentral describes it as "tRNA-Glu". Lineage: Eukaryota; Metazoa; Chordata; Actinopteri; Siluriformes; Pangasiidae. The record is from RNAcentral.
UCCCUGAAGGACUAGAGGUUAGGCCUCUGCGCUCUCAGUGCCAUGGCCUAGGUUCGAUUCCUGGCCAGGGAA